AGUGGGUAUCAGAUAGGCAAAACCUGGGAUUAUGUUUUAAUGGCAUCUUAACUGAAUCUAAUUUUUUCAUUCGAACUUGCGAUCAACAAAGAGAAAUAUACUUAAAUUCGCAGUGUGGGAAGAAGAAUCAGGCAUUGGAUAUAUUAGAAGGCUAUCUUCCCCAAAUGCUACUGCAUUGUAUGGGUGAUCGACUAGACAGUUGUUGAUCGAGGGAGCGACAUAACCAAUGGAGCCCAUUAUUUCAACUGAAUUUGCAUCUUGUUCAUUUAGCUGCCGAGAAGUACUGGUGGGAUUUGAAAGGAACUGAGCCAAGCCAAAAUCACUCACAUGGGCAAUUAAAGCAUCAUCAAGAAGAACAUUGCUUGGCUUCAGAUCACAGUGAACAAGGGGCGUAACACAUUCAUGGUGAAGAUAAUUUAGGGCGGAAGCAACGUCAACUGCAAUGUUCAACCUUCUUUUCAGGUACAACUCCCCAAGGUUUCUCAAGCUACCAAUUUCCACUGGGACUGAACCAGUAAAUGAGUUAUUACUUAAGUCUAGCAUCAAUGAUAAAGAGGGAAGUCUGAAAAUUUGUACGGGGAUACUACCACUUAG
Papaver somniferum (opium poppy) is the source of this 594-nucleotide long non-coding RNA. RefSeq lists it as uncharacterized. The record is from RefSeq and is a predicted model, not a curated record. NCBI's taxonomy places the organism in Eukaryota, Viridiplantae, Streptophyta, Magnoliopsida, Ranunculales, Papaveraceae. The transcript is spliced from 3 exons.